GGCUCUGUUCAUCCAAGGCCACCAGCCCCGACCUUCUGCAGCAGCUUGACUUGUUAAGAACCUUGGAAUCUUUCCACUCACAAGUGUAUUUCCCAAAUCCCAGAGAGGGCUGAUACAGAACAGAGGCUCACAUGGCUGUCUGCACAUUGGAGCAUGAACUGUGUGGCCCAUCUAGGCCCUAGACUCUGUCAAGUAUAGACGCUGCUGCUGCUGCUGCUGUUGCUGCUGUGGCAGUGGAGGCUGCUGCUGCCUGGCGACCACUCUUGGAGAAUCACUGGUAUGAAGGAAGCCAGGUUGCAGAGUUGGUGGUCAGACAGAGGAAGUAUGGGUAGAGGCCUGGAGCUCUACUGGAUUCUGCUGUGGCUCAGCUUUCUUAUCCUCAAAUGUGAAGAACAGCAGGCUACCUACUGCUGGGGGUCAUAAGGACUUCAGGGCACGGGAGGGAUCAGAACUGUCCUGCCACCUGGCUCUUUCCACAGAUGUUUGCUGAGCCAGCACCAUGCUCCUUCCCCGAUGUGUCCGGGGCCCAGUUCUCAUGGGCUUCAUGGAUCCUUCCACCCCCUUGAGGGACAGGCUGUCCUCUGGGCAUGGAUGGGAGGUAGCACGGGAGGGGUCAAGCCAUGGCUUGGUCUCUCUUUACCAAGUAUGCUUAUCCUUGAAGGAGGAGACCGCAGGAGCCUAGCUUCUCCUCCUGACUGUGGAACCCCUUCAACUCCAUUAGACUCCAGCCCUCACUUAUAGUUACUAUAUUCAGAAAGCGGAACUCGAGAGCAGCAUAUUGGAAUCUCACACUAGCCCACUCUGUACCACUUGGGAUAAGACUCAUCCCUUGGCCGAGUUCAAUGCUGUGGGCUAUGCUCACAGUUACUGAGGAAUGGUCUUGGUGUUCAGAUCAACUGUGCAUCCUGCCAGUGCUCCCAUUAGAUGACCCUUCUCAGACUUAAUAAUGGGACGAGAUGAGGCUGCGACUUGGAAGCCUCACAGAGGGCUGUGGAGAGCUCCCUUCAGGUGAAAAGGUUCACUCAUAUACGGUAAGGAAAAGGCAGUCUGAGGUUGUUGCUAACGUUCCGCAAGAAGAAAUCUGCUCCUGACGCUUCAAAGGAGGAAAAGGAAUUUCGGGCUAAUCAUGUCACAUGUCAAACUGCAAACGUUCUGCCCAGGGUUUGUGGAGGGAUGGGAAAGGCAUACACACUGGGAAGCUGCACUGGGCAGCUUGCACUAACAGACUCAUUGGUCCAGUCAGGGUUCUCCAGCCGCCUGUGGAUUUUGGACUGUCACCUGCCAGAGAGGGUGCAACGGGAAAGGAAAUCAGGGCCAGAACACCUGGGGAGGUGGGUGAAGGCUGUGAUGAAAUUCCUUGGAAGAUUCAUUUGCCUUGGUAAAAUCACCAGGACUAGAUGCUGGAGCAGAAUGAAGAAGUCAGAGAAGAAAGCUUUCGGCUACACAGUAAGGUAGAGAACUCCUGUUUCUGGUCCUGCUUCUCUUUAGUGGCAGCAGGGCCUACUCCAGAGUUUUUGUGAGGACCGGUGGAUGAAAUGGAAGUCAUUCACGUGUAGGAAGUGCUCACUAAAUGACCCCUUAUUGUUAGCUCUGUGUGCUACUCAGCGUGCAGAACCUCAAGAGCGAGGGAAAGAGAAAUUUGUGUGCAUGUAAGAUGGCCAAACCCAGGGUUGGCUCAGAGUCUGUUUGCAGGAGUGGUGGGGGCUUUGCACACUCAAAGAGAAACUGGAGAAGGCAGGGACAAGUGUGCAAGACCAGGAGGGACACUGACGACUUCCUUGCAUUGCUGUGAUAAAGCCACUAUGACCAAAAGCAAUCUGGGGGAGGGAAAGAUGACUUCAUUUUAUAACACAGUCCUUAAUGAAGGGAAAGUGAGGCAGGAACUCAAGACAGAAACCUGGAGGGUGGAGCUGAGCUGGAGAUGACAGAGACACACUGUUUAUCGGUUUCCUCCCCUCGGCUUGCUCAGCCUUCUUUCUUCUAUACUCCAGGGCCACCCAUCUAGGGAGAGCACUGCUCACAGUGGGCUGGGCCCGUCCACAUCACUCAUUGAGCAAGGAAAUGUCCUGAAGGCUUGCUCACAGGCCACUCUGAUGGAGACAUCUUCCCAACCCUGUGUUCUCCUUCCAGAUGGCCCUGGCUUGUAGCAAGUUGACAACAACAACCAGAAAAUCACUAAGUGGUUCAUAGCCUUUGCAUCUGAAUUGAUCUGUCCCUCAGCCUCAGUAAUGCACUGGCCCACACUGGUCUGCUUGCCCCUCUGGGGAGGUGGACUUUAGAGAGCAAAAGACCCUGGCUUUGUGUCAAGUGUAGACAUGUGACAGAGACUGGUUCAGGG
Molecule: long non-coding RNA, 2338 nt
Filed under: Mus musculus (house mouse)
Lineage: Eukaryota; Metazoa; Chordata; Mammalia; Rodentia; Muridae
Description: predicted gene, 50269
Source: RNAcentral